UUGGUGGGCUCGCCCACCAUAGGACAACCCCAUAAACCUUUUUGUAAUAGCAAUCAGCGUCAGUAACAAUGUAAUAAUUACAACUUUCAACAACGGAUCUCUUGGUUCUGGCAUCGAUGAAGAACGCAGCGAAAUGCGAUACGUAGUGUGAAUUGCAGAAUUCAGUGAAUCAUCGAAUCUUUGAACGCACAUUGCGCCCUUUGGUAUUCCAAAGGGCAUGCCUGUUCGAGCGUCAUUUGUACCCUCAAGCUUUGCUUGGUGUUGGGCGUCUUGUCUCUAGUUCGCUGGAGACUCGCCUUAAAGUCAUUGGCAGCCGGCCUACUGGUUUCGGAGCGCAGCACAAGUCGCGCUCUCUUCCAGCCAAGGUCAGCGUCCAGUAAGCC
Molecule: ribosomal RNA, 383 nt
Filed under: Alternaria molesta
Lineage: Eukaryota; Fungi; Ascomycota; Dothideomycetes; Pleosporales; Pleosporaceae
Description: eukaryotic LSU rRNA
Rfam family: 5.8S ribosomal RNA (bases 82-235)
Source: RNAcentral